GAUGAAGAACGCAGCGAAAUGCGAUAAGUAAUGUGAAUUGCAGAAUUCAGUGAAUCAUAGAAUCUUUGAACGCACAUUGCGCCCGCCAGUAUUCUGGCGGGCAUGCCUGUUCGAGCGUCAUUUCAACCCUCAAGCCCCCGGGCUUGGUGUUGGGGAUCGGCGUGCCCUCGCGGCGCGCCGUCCCCUAAAUCUAGUGGCGGUCUCGCUGUAGCUUCCUCUGCGUAGUAGCAACACUCGCACUGGAUCGCAGCGCGGCCACGCCGUUAAACCCCCCACUUCUGAAAGUUUGACCUCGGAUCAGGUAGGAAUACCCGCUGAACUUAAGCAUAUCAAUAAGCGGAGGA
This 344-nucleotide unclassified non-coding RNA is filed under the name soil metagenome. RNAcentral describes it as "partial contains 5.8S ribosomal RNA, internal transcribed spacer 2, and large subunit ribosomal RNA". The stretch from base 1 to 120 matches the Rfam family "5.8S ribosomal RNA", at positions 35 to 154 of the family's 154-position model. The record is from RNAcentral.